Molecule: ribosomal RNA, 421 nt
Filed under: Breviceps acutirostris (strawberry rain frog)
Lineage: Eukaryota; Metazoa; Chordata; Amphibia; Anura; Brevicipitidae
Description: partial small subunit ribosomal RNA
Rfam family: Bacterial small subunit ribosomal RNA
Source: RNAcentral
AUCGCCAGGGAAUUACGAGCCCAAACUUAAAACCCAAAGGACUUGACGGUGCCCCACUCCCCCUAGAGGAGCCUGUGCUACAAUCGAUUAUGCCCGCUAAACCCGACUGCUUUUUGAUUAAUCAGCUUGUAUACUUCCGUCGUAAGCUCACCAUGUUGAAUUGAUAUUAUAGUGAGCCUAAAGGCUUUACCCCCCAAUACGUCAGGUCAAGGUGCAGCCCACAAAGCAGAUAGUAAUGGGCUACAGUUUCUACAAUAGAACCCACGAAAAGGCCGUAUGAAAUAUGGCCACGAAGGAGGAUUUAGAAGUAAAAAGAAAAUAAAUUGUUCUUUUUAACUAAGGUGCUGGGGCGCGUACAAACCGCCCGUCACCCUCUUCGACCAAACCUAAUUGAUUAAUAACCUAACAAUUUAACACAGAA